AGGGAAAAGGCAAAAUCAGAGGAAGAGAGUGAGAACAAAAGAUUGCCCCCACAACAAUCGGGAUGUGCACCCAUACCGUGGGAUAAUACGGACAAGCAGAGAAAGGGGAAGACCGAACUCCUGUACGACUGGAUGCCCUGCGAUCUAUGGUAUGGUACCCUUGCUUGGACAGUUCACCGGCUACGUUCACACUGCAG
Molecule: non-coding RNA, 197 nt
Organism: Pimephales promelas (fathead minnow)
Lineage: Eukaryota; Metazoa; Chordata; Actinopteri; Cypriniformes; Leuciscidae
Source: RefSeq, a predicted model, not a curated record